Molecule: non-coding RNA, 422 nt
Organism: Python bivittatus (Burmese python)
Lineage: Eukaryota; Metazoa; Chordata; Lepidosauria; Squamata; Pythonidae
Source: the annotation of a RefSeq genome assembly
GUUUGAGUGCUUGUCUGAAUGUUUUCACAUCAGUAAGACUCCUUCGAUCCUUAGAGUGAGCAAAAAUGACACCCUGGAUAAACCUCAUACUGUUAGCAGCAGUCCUCAGAGGUGUCCAGUCAGAGGUCCAGCUGGUGGAGUCUGGAGGGGAUGUGAGAAGACCUGGAGGCUCCCUCCGCCUCUCCUGCCAAGGGUCCGGAUUCACCUUCAGCAGCUAUAGCAUGAACUGGGUGAGACAAUAUCCAGAGAAAGGACUGGAAUGGGUGGCAUUCAUCAACCCCAGUUCCAGCACUAUUUACUACUCAGACAAAGUCAAGGGGCGCUUCACCAUCUCCAGGGACAAUGCCAAAAGCCAGCUGUAUCUGCAAAUGAACAACCUCAAGCUGGAGGACACGGGACGCUAUUACUGUGCGAGAGACACG